RNAcentral lists this long non-coding RNA (1469 nucleotides) under Mus musculus (house mouse). RNAcentral describes it as "predicted gene, 40765". The record is from RNAcentral. Lineage: Eukaryota; Metazoa; Chordata; Mammalia; Rodentia; Muridae.
AAAGCUCAUUGUCUGCAUGAAAACAGAAAUCCUCUACAGAAAAACAAUUACUUCACUUACAUAGUUUCUGUGCAUACAGGGAAUAAAUAAAAACACAGCGCUGGCCUGCCACUCAUGGAUGUACCCCAUCCAUGUGAGCCGCUGGAUGGCUCACAACAGGAGACCUCUGAGUUCAUGGCCAUCUGGGAUUAAAGGCAUGGGGGCACACACCUUUAAUCUGGGCUACACCCUCUACUGGAGAACUACAUAAGGACAUUGGAAGAAGGAAGAUUUACACUCUUUCACGCCUCCUCCUUGCCUUGUGGUACUGAGCAACUGCUAGAUCCUUGGACUUCCAUUUACAAUUGCUGCUGACCAUUGUUGGGAGUUGGAUUGCAUACAGCAAGAACACACUCAGGACAACCGGAAUCUUCUGCGGCACAAGGGUUUAUUGCUUACUUCCCAGGAGGAAGACCUGGAACCCAGAAAAUGGCGCUGCUUAUAUAGCCUGCAGGGUGACGUUUCAGCACCUGAUGUGGCGUGACAGCUCAUGAUUCAUUGCUUGCCCAUCACCCUAUUACUAUGCCCCGAGAUGGGCAGUGACUAGGCAGACAAAAGGUGAAGAAUUCACCAGUGCUUCCAGACUGAAUAACGAAGUAUGAUGGCAGAAGCAUUGAGCUGGGAGAGCUGGGAGAGCUUAAGAAAAGCCGUAAGGAGAUGGUUGAGCUUUCUAUUUCAGACAGAGUAGUUGCUUAGUGCUUUGGGCUUAUGGUUUCUUUUGAGUGUCAGGGAUAAAUUAGCAUAAUACAUAAACUUUAGGAGUAGGAGAGCUUAUAUAAUUUGACCUUGACUGCUGAGUUCCCUAAUGUGUGCAGUAUUAUCAUUUUCCUAUGGUAUGUUUCCAGCUUGAACUCUUAACAUCAGCUGGCUAUGCACGUGCUGGUGGAUGUUCACCAUGUCAAAGGGCAGCUUUGGCAGCUUUUCUACAAAGGAUGGGCAUAAGAAAAGGACAGUGGAAUGACUAGGUGCUGAGAGGUAAGGUCUGUGGAAUCCAAGAAAUAUGGCUGUUCCCUGUGAGGUUCUACCAGCACCUGACCAAUACAGAUGCAGAUACAGGCAACCAUCAGACAGAGUCUGGGGACCCCAAUGGAAGAGCUAGGGGAAGGACUGAAGGACCUGAAGGGUAUUGAAACCCCAUAGGAAGAACAAUAUCAACUAACUGGACCCCUGAGAGCUCCCAGAGACUAAACCACCAACCAAAGAGCACACAUGGAGGGAGCCAGGACUCCAGAUACAUAUGUGGCAGAGAGUGGCCUUACUUGCCAUCAAUGGGAGGGGCAGCCCUUGGUCCUGUGGAGGUUUGAUGCUCCAGCAUAGGGGGAUGGUAGGAUGUAAGGCAGGAGUGAGUGAACCAGUUGAGGAGCACCCUGAUAGAAGCAAAGUGGAUGGGGGAUGGGAUGGGGGUUGUGGAUGGGUAACCGGGAAGGGGC